CAUGCAAGUCGAACGGAGUCCUUCGGGACUUAGUGGCGGACGGGUGAGUAACGCGUGAGAAUCUGCCCUUAGGACGGGGACAACAGCUGGAAACGGCUGCUAAUACCCGAUGUGCCGAGAGGUGAAACAUUUUAUGGCCUGAGGAUGAGCUCGCGUCUGAUUAGCUAGUUGGUGGGGUAAGGGCCUACCAAGGCGACGAUCAGUAGCUGGUCUGAGAGGAUGAUCAGCCACACUGGGACUGAGACACGGCCCAGACUCCUACGGGAGGCAGCAGUGGGGAAUUUUCCGCAAUGGGCGCAAGCCUGACGGAGCAAGACCGCGUGCGGGAGGACGGCCUAUUGGUUGUAAACCGCUUUUGAUAGGGAAGAAGUUCUGACGGUACCUAUCGAAUCAGCAUCGGCUAACUCCGUGCCAGCAGCCGCGGUAAUACGGAGGAUGCAAGCGUUAUCCGGAAUUAUUGGGCGUAAAGCGUCCGUAGGUGGUUGUUCAAGUCUGCUGUUAAAGCGUGCGGCUUAACCGCAUACCAGCAGUGGAAACUGGGCGACUAGAGUGCGGUAGGGGUCAGGGGAAUUCCCAGUGUAGCGGUGAAAUGCGUAGAUAUUGGGAAGAACACCGGUGGCGAAAGCGCCUGACUGGACCUGCACUGACACUGAGGGACGAAAGCUAGGGGAGCGAAAGGGAUUAGAUACCCCUGUAGUCCUAGCCGUAAACGAUGGACACUAGGUGUUGCCCGUAUCGACCCGA
RNAcentral lists this ribosomal RNA (744 nucleotides) under Geitlerinema sp. Bal-2. RNAcentral's name for it is "bacterial SSU rRNA". It matches the Rfam family "Bacterial small subunit ribosomal RNA", at positions 54 to 839 of the family's 1533-position model. Lineage: Bacteria; Bacillati; Cyanobacteriota; Cyanophyceae; Geitlerinematales; Geitlerinemataceae. The record is from RNAcentral.